This 253-nucleotide ribosomal RNA is filed under the name uncultured bacterium. RNAcentral describes it as "partial 16S ribosomal RNA". It matches the Rfam family "Bacterial small subunit ribosomal RNA", at positions 524 to 776 of the family's 1533-position model. The record is from RNAcentral.
UACAGAGGUCCCAAGCGUUGUUCGGAUUCAUUGGGCGUAAAGGGCGUGUAGGCGGCGCCGUAAGUCGGGUGUGAAAUCUCGGGGCUUAACUCCGAAACUGCAUUCGAUACUGCGGUGCUUGAGGACUGGAGAGGAGACUGGAAUUCAUGGUGUAGCAGUGAAAUGCGUAGAGAUCAUGAGGAAGACCAGUGGCGAAGGCGGGUCUCUGGACAGUUCCUGACGCUGAGACACGAAGGCCAGGGGAGCAAACGGG